AACGCACAUUGCGCCCCGUGGUAUUCCGCGGGGCAUGCCUGUUCGAGCGUCAUUUCAACCCUCAAGCGCUGCUUGGUGUUGGGCCCUGCCCGUCGCGGCCGGCCCCAAAGUCAGUGGCGGCGCCGUCGGGCUCCAAGCGUAGUACAUCUCUCGCUCUGGAGUCCUGCGGCAGCUCGCCAGAACCCCGAAUCUUAUGGUUGACCUCGGAUCAGGUAGGGAUACCCGCUGAACUUAA
Molecule: unclassified non-coding RNA, 235 nt
Filed under: uncultured fungus
Lineage: Eukaryota; Fungi
Description: partial contains 5.8S ribosomal RNA, internal transcribed spacer 2, and large subunit ribosomal RNA
Rfam family: 5.8S ribosomal RNA (bases 1-52)
Source: RNAcentral